CUAAUGUUACCUAUUUAAAAAGUUAUGUUUAAAAUUUAAAAAAUUUUAUUUAAAAACCUGUGUGGGUCUCCUUUUGUUAGGUAAAAUAUCACUUUGGUGAUGUGGUAGCCGUACAGCUGUCAGUCCGUUCCUGCUUUCAAACUGUUCCAGGCCAAGAGCAGAGGGCAGGGUGAGUGUUUCAAAGUGGAGUGCAGAGGGAAAGGUAUUCACCAGGAAGCCGAAUUAGGAGGUGAAUGUUAGAUAACAUCCAGCUUUUCUGAUCCUCAGGAACUCUUCAAACUUCCAAUAUUCAUGCUGAGGGAACAAUGUUCACGGGCAUGGAGUCACAAAGAGACAUGGACCUGAAGGAAACUGUCACUUGCUUCAGUGGACUAGAGCAUGCGAUGGUCGGGAAAUCAUAGAGAGGCACUCACUCAUGGUUUACUAGGUUGAACUGUAUUUGUAAUGAAAUCAAGAGAAUGCAUAUCACUCAAACUCAAGGAGAAACUAAAUAAGAAUUUCAAAAUAUUAAAACUCAUCGGUCAUGGUCGUGGUCAUGAGUGCUUUGUAACCAGCUUUCUCCUGACCCUGAGAACACUGGCUAAUGACUCUGGAGGAGUAAUUUUUCUUUAGAUUUAUAAGACCAAGAACAUCAGAUGACCUGCAGAUGACAGCAGCACCAGAAAAGCUGACUGGCCAAAAUUUACAACUACCCUGAUGCUCUCUGCCUGUGGAAUCUGCCUCCCUCAAAUCCCUGUAUGAGCCUGGAGACCACAACCCCAAG
This 763-nucleotide long non-coding RNA is filed under the name Castor canadensis (American beaver). Its description in RNAcentral is "lncRNA (ENSCCNG00000004874.1)". The record is from RNAcentral. Lineage: Eukaryota; Metazoa; Chordata; Mammalia; Rodentia; Castoridae.